ACACGCUGGCGGGUGCUUACACAUCCAAGGUCNGUAAGAUGACGGUGGUGCUUGCACCGCCUGAUUAGUGGCGAACGGGUGAGUAACACGUGAGUAACCUGCCCUCCACUUCGGGAUAACCUCGGGAAAUCGUGGCUAAUACCGGAUAUGAGCACUCAUCGCAUGGUGGGUGUUGGAAAGAUUUAUCGGUGGGGGAUGGACUCGCGGCCUAUCAGUUUGUUGGUGAGGUGAUGGCUCACCAAGACGAUGACGGGUAGCCGGCCUGAGAGGGCGACCGGCCACACUGGGACUGAGACACGGCCCAGACUCCUACGGGAGGCAGCAGUGGGGAAUAUUGCACAAUGGGCGAAAGCCUGAUGCAGCGACGCCGCGUGGGGGAUGACGGCCUUCGGGUUGUAAACCCCUUUCAGUACGGGAAGAAGGCGAGAGUGACGGUACCUGCAGAAGAAGCGCCGGGCUAACUACGUGCCAGCAAGCCGCGGGUAAUACGUAGGGCGCAAAGCGUUGUCCCGGAAAUUCAUUGGGGCCGUAAAGGAGCUCGUAAGGUGGCUUGUCCGCGUCUGCCCGUGAAAACCCGAGGCUUCAACNUCGGGGCCGUGCCGGUGGGUCCGGCNAGGCUAACACACUGUGGUAGGGCGCAGACUGGAACUNCCUGG
Molecule: ribosomal RNA, 656 nt
Filed under: Brachybacterium sp. UST050418-814
Lineage: Bacteria; Bacillati; Actinomycetota; Actinomycetes; Micrococcales; Dermabacteraceae
Description: bacterial SSU rRNA
Rfam family: Bacterial small subunit ribosomal RNA
Source: RNAcentral